Molecule: ribosomal RNA, 738 nt
Filed under: uncultured bacterium
Lineage: Bacteria
Description: bacterial SSU rRNA
Rfam family: Bacterial small subunit ribosomal RNA
Source: RNAcentral
CCGCGAAAGCGGGGCUAAUACCGCAUACGGUCUACGGACCAAAGCCUUCGGGCGCUUUCGGAGGGGCCUGCGGCGGAUUAGCUAGUUGGUGGGGUAACGGCCUACCAAGGCGACGAUCCGUAGCUGGUCUGAGAGGAUGAUCAGCCACACUGGGACUGAGACACGGCCCAGACUCCUACGGGAGGCAGCAGCGAGGAAUUUUCCGCAAUGGGCGAAAGCCUGACGGAGCAACGCCGCGUGGGGGAAGAAGGCCUUCGGGUUGUAAACCCCUGUUGCGAGGGAAGAAGAUCUGACAGUACCUCGCGAGGAAGCCACGGCUAACUACGUGCCAGCAGCCGCGGUAAUACGUAGGUGGCAAGCGUUGUCCGGAUUUACUGGGCGUAAAGCGCGCGCAGGCGGGCUGGUCAGUCUGGGGUGAAAUCUCACGGCUCAACCGUGAGAGGUCCCUGGAUACUGCCAGCCUUGAGGGGCUCAGAGGAGAGUGGAAUUCCGGGUGUAGUGGUGGAAUGCGUAGAUAUCCGGAGGAACACCAGUGGCGAAAGCGGCUCUCUGGGGGCAACCUGACGCUGAGGCGCGAAAGCGUGGGGAGCGAACCGGAUUAGAUACCCGGGUAGUCCACGCCGUAAACGAUGAGUACUAGUUGUCGGGGGUAUCGACCCCCUCGGUAACGAAGCUAACGCGAUAAGUACUCCGCCUGGGGACUACGACCGCAAGGUUAAAACUUAAAGGAAUUGACGG